RNAcentral lists this ribosomal RNA (382 nucleotides) under Oxytorus sp. RDB-2000. RNAcentral's name for it is "eukaryotic LSU rRNA". The record is from RNAcentral. Lineage: Eukaryota; Metazoa; Arthropoda; Insecta; Hymenoptera; Ichneumonidae.
CCUGAGAAACCCAAAAGAUCGAAUGGGGAGAUUCAUCGUCAGCGAUCCCGGUUCGUGUGCGGUUCGUGAUGCCGGGGACCUCGGUCUCAUGGCACACGUCCGCAUGGUUUUAUUGCCGGGUGUCGUCGGCGUGCACUUCUCCCCUAGUAGGACGUCGCGACCCGUUGGGUGUCGGUCUACGGCCCGGGUGGUCGCCUGUCAUGUGUCACGCUUCACGGCGCCAUGUGGCAGACCCCCGGUCGUCUGACCAGCUGCUCGGCGGUACUCGCACGGUAUCGAGUCGCAAAUAUUCGAACUGCGUCCGGCCCGCCGCAAGCGAGGCCANUGUUUUCCCGGAUGUACGGACCUANCGCCGUCACCGGGCCUGGNCAGNUGUUGGUUG